Molecule: long non-coding RNA, 2346 nt
Filed under: Equus caballus (horse)
Lineage: Eukaryota; Metazoa; Chordata; Mammalia; Perissodactyla; Equidae
Description: lncRNA (ENSECAG00000052779.1)
Source: RNAcentral
GCCCAUUUCACCAACUGGGAGAGGUGAGGCUGAGAGCAGGUAUUUAUCAUGAGUCUGCGGUGGAAUGGAACCAACGGCCUCCCUAAGGUCCCUCCUAAUGUGGUAAAUGAUAUUCAGCCGGAGGAAGAGCCUGGGGAACAAAUCAACUCAAACCCCACCUGAGACCUCAGAGAGGAUGAGAUAAAGAGAAAUAUGGGAUCCACACCCUGCUCAGAACAUGAAGCCCCAUAACUCCGGAAUGCCUGGCAGGAGUGACUUUUCUGAGAAUGGAGCCUGGGACAGCCACCCAACGUGCUGAGUGGAGGUGGCUAAGGACAUUUCCAGCCCAGCAGUCGUCAUGGUUUAUGUGUUGUUGACCUCCGCUUUGGAGUCGAUUGACGUCACCUCCUAGUUCUGCCCCUAGGUUCUGUAAAACCAUCACUGAACCUUCCAGCCCCUUCCCUGGAGACAGAGUAGGUUCUGGAAACCUUCGGGUACCUGUGAUUCCAGGGCAGCAGGCAGUGUACUGGAGGGCGAUCGGGGCUGUGUUGCCCACACCUGAGGCCCAGACUCCACACACACUGCACCAUUUCUCUCCCAUAGUCAACCAUUCUUGCGGUUGCUUCCCUGUGGGGGACUCAGCCCAGUGCUAAGUCCCUCCUUUUUCAUUCUGCCUAAGCCCCUUCCUUCCAGCUCUGCCUUUUCUCCAUCAGCCCCUCAACUCAUCCUUGAUCCCCUCCUCCCGCUCAGCACCUGGGGCUGGGACAGCUCCCCAGGGACGCCGAUAGUCUCAGAGCAUCUGCCCAGCGCCUGAACUGGUAUGAACUGGAGAGUGUGGGUCAGCCUGACAGUUGCUCCUGCCAGGCCUGUGACCUCUAGAAUCCAUCCCUUCUCUCUCCACUCAUGCUCUGAGCCAGGACUGCCACAUCUCCUGGAUGCUCACUGGGCUAGGACAAGCCACCCAGUAUUUCAUGCCCCAUGUCUUUGCUCACUCUAUUCCCUUUGCCAAAAACAUCUUUUCUGGUGAAUCCCUUUUCUGCUUCAAGGCUCAACUCGAAUGCCACUGUGCAAGUAAAGCCCUCUCAAUCUACCUUAGGCUACUCUGUUGCCCAUUGAACUUUUUCUUAUCAUUAUCAUAGCAGUUAUGUCUCUGUUUUCAUGUCUGCCUCCCUACUGGAGGGUGUCUUUUCUGGAAUGGACUGGGUCAUAUUGAUCUGUGGAUCUCCAGAACUUGGUUCCGUGUAGCUCAUUGAGUAUUUGUUGUUGCUGUUGGCCCUCACCUAGAGUAGAUCCUUGGUCUGGGAUGUGAGUUGGAGAAGGUCUCAGACUCCCCAGAGACAAUGGUCUACCUGCAUGGCAAUGAGUACCGGUGGUGUGUGUCAUGCCUCCUCUUCCUUGCCAGGCCACGACCCCAUCCUACUGCAGGUCCUGUAGUGCCAGGCUGGUUGCAAGACACGGUACUCCUCACCUCUGACAAAACCACAGCUUGGCCCAUUGGUACCCCGUGGGAUGGAGCAGCCACAUCUGGCUAACAUCUGGAUGCUUUCUCCCCAGCUCUGGGCAGCUGUCUCCUGUAGUUUUUCCCUCCUCCUAUGGCUUUACCGACUCCUCCUGCUGCUCUAAGAGAGCCCUAGAGAGUGGGCUCAGAGUGGAAAGAGAGGGCAGGGGGCAUCUCCCUGUCUUCCUCCCUCUCCUUCCUCCUGGCUGGCUGCAGCUGUGCUGCGUGAUGUGGAACUGAACACAAUCUUAAUUAGUGCUCAGCCCUGCUCAUUAUUGCCUCUGGAAACCAGAGAAGCUCCAAGUUAGGAAGUCUUGAUCUCAGUGGAGGCCAGGGCCCCAGAUGUCCUAGUCCUGCUUCUUGUGGAUUGGGUCUGUACGACCUGGGAUCCCUUUUUGGGCCUUUAAAGGGAGAUGCCCCUCCCUGGAAUGAGGAAAGGGCUGGAGCUGGAGGGAGGAGAGGGAAGCCUAGGCCCCUCAUGGACUCUCACUCUGUGCAGAGCAUCUCCAGGACAGCGUGUCGUGGAACAUGUGAAACUCCACUGCAAUCAGAGAAAGAUGAACGAAUGAUUAAAUAAAGCAAAUGUGCUCAAAUCCAGCACACUGGUGACUUGCCUGCCUUUAGAGGGACUAAAGCAAGAGGACUGAUGCAUUGUUCAGCAUUCUUUUUUUUUUCUUUCGGUGAAAUGGAAUAAAGAACUGUGAAGUGCCUGAAUACUAAACAAAAGGAAGCUGAGCGAAGGAGGAGAAGAGGGGCGGACCUGGAAAUUAUAACCCAUAGGCCUGGUUCCAAUAUCUGGGAAAACUCCUUCACAAAUAUCAACUUGUAAACAGCCUAGAAGAUCAAAUGAGACAAUACACAUGAAAGCC